RNAcentral lists this ribosomal RNA (113 nucleotides) under Acanthosepion pharaonis. Lineage: Eukaryota; Metazoa; Mollusca; Cephalopoda; Sepiida; Sepiidae. The record is from RNAcentral.
UUACGGUCAAAUCACGCUGAAACACCGGUUCUCGUACGAUCACCGAAGUUAAGCAGCGGAGAGCCAGGUCAGUACUUAGAUGGGGGACCGCUUGGGACACCUGGUACUGUAAG